AGUGAACGCUGGCGGUAGGCCUAAUACAUGCAAGUCGAACGGCCGCACAGUAAGCGCUUGCUCUUACGGGUGGCGAGUGGCGGACGGGUGAGGCAUACAUCGGCAUCUACUUUUUCGUGGGGGAUAACGUAGGGCCACUUACGCUACUACCGCAUACGACCUACGGGUGAAAGCAGUGGUUCUUCGCGGCUUGCGCGAUUCAAUGAGCCGACGUCGGAUUAGCUAGUUGGCGGGGUAAAGGCCCACCAAGGCGACGAUGCGUAGCUGGUCUGAGAGGAUGAUCAGCCACACUGGAACUGAGACACGGUCCAGACUCCUACGGGAGGCAGCAGUGGGGAAUAUUGGGCAAUGGGCGCAAGCCUGACCCAGCCAUGCCGCGUGAGUGAAGAAGGUCUUCGGGUUGUAAAGCUCUGUUGUUGGGAAAGAAAAGCAGCAGGUUAAUACCCCGCUGUUCUGACGGUACCCAAAGAGUAAGCACCGGCUAACUUCGUG
RNAcentral lists this ribosomal RNA (492 nucleotides) under uncultured bacterium. RNAcentral's name for it is "partial 16S ribosomal RNA". It matches the Rfam family "Bacterial small subunit ribosomal RNA", at positions 29 to 507 of the family's 1533-position model. The record is from RNAcentral.